UGCAGUCGAGCGCACCUUCGGGUGAGCGGCGGACGGGUUAGUAACGCGUGGGAACAUACCCUUUGGUACGGAAUAGCCUCUGGAAACGGAGAGUAAUACCGUAUGAGCCCUUCGGGGGAAAGAUUUAUCGCCAAAGGAUUGGCCCGCGUUAGAUUAGGUAGUUGGUGGGGUAAUGGCCUACCAAGCCUACGAUCUAUAGCUGGUUUUAGAGGAUGAUCAGCAACACUGGGACUGAGACACGGCCCAGACUCCUACGGGAGGCAGCAGUGGGGAAUCUUGGACAAUGGGGGCAACCCUGAUCCAGCCAUGCCGCGUGAGUGAUGAAGGCCUUAGGGUCGUAAAGCUCUUUCGCCUGUGAAGAUAAUGACGGUAGCAGGUAAAGAAACCCCGGCUAACUCCGUGCCAGCAGCCGCGGUAAUACGGAGGGGGUUAGCGUUGUUCGGAAUUACUGGGCGUAAAGCGCACGUAGGCGGACUGGAAAGUUGGGGGUGAAAUCCCAGGGCUCAACCCUGGAACUGCCUCCAAAACUAUCAGUCUAGAGUUCGAGAGAGGUGAGUGGAAUUCCGAGUGUAGAGGUGAAAUUCGUAGAUAUUCGGAGGAACACCAGUGGCGAAGGCGGCUCACUGGCUCGAUACUGACGCUGAGGUGCGAAAGUGUGGGGAGCAAACAGGAUUAGAUACCCUGGUAGUCCACACCGUAAACGAUGAAUGCCAGUCGUCGGGUAGCAUGCUAUUCGGUGACACACCUAACG
RNAcentral lists this ribosomal RNA (751 nucleotides) under Ruegeria sp. AU67_Ted3_MB20SEFF. RNAcentral's name for it is "bacterial SSU rRNA". It matches the Rfam family "Bacterial small subunit ribosomal RNA", at positions 56 to 857 of the family's 1533-position model. Lineage: Bacteria; Pseudomonadati; Pseudomonadota; Alphaproteobacteria; Rhodobacterales; Roseobacteraceae. The record is from RNAcentral.